RNAcentral lists this ribosomal RNA (229 nucleotides) under uncultured bacterium. RNAcentral describes it as "partial 16S rRNA". It matches the Rfam family "Bacterial small subunit ribosomal RNA", at positions 505 to 733 of the family's 1533-position model. The record is from RNAcentral.
GUGUCAGCCGCCGCGGUAAUACGUAGGUGGCAAGCGUUGUCCGGAUUUACUGGGCGUAAAGGGUGCGUAGGCGGAUACUUAAGUGGGAUGUGAAAUACCCGGGCUUAACUUGGGUGCUGCAUUCCAAACUGGGUGUCUAGAGUGCUGGAGAGGAAAGUAGAAUUCCUAGUGUAGCGGUGAAAUGCGUAGAGAUUAGGAAGAAUACCAGUGGCGAAGGCGACUUUCUGGA